AGAGUUUGAUCAUGGCUCAGAACGUACGCUGGCGGCACGCCUAACACAUGCAAGUCGAACGAAGUAGCAAUACUUAGUGGCAGACGGGUGAGUAACAUGUAGGUAUCUGCCCUUUGGCCUGGAAUAACACGAGGAAACUUGUGCUAAUACCGGAUAAGUCUUUACGGAGAAAGCUUUAUGCACCAUUGGAUGAGCCUGCACUUGAUUAGUUUGUUGGUGGGGUAAUGGCCUACCAAGACUGUGAUCAAUAGCUGAUUUGAGAGGAUGAUCAGCCACAUUGGGACUGAGACACGGCCCAAACUCCUACGGGAGGCAGCAGUGGGGAAUCUUGCACAAUGGAGGAAACUCUGAUGCAGCGAUGCCGCGUGAGUGAAGAAGGCCUUUGGGUUGUAAAGCUCUUUCGUCGGGGAAGAAAAUGACUGUACCCGAAUAAGAAGGUCCGGCUAACUUCGUGCCAGCCGCCGCGGUAAUAC
This 473-nucleotide ribosomal RNA is filed under the name uncultured bacterium. RNAcentral describes it as "bacterial SSU rRNA". It matches the Rfam family "Bacterial small subunit ribosomal RNA", at positions 8 to 526 of the family's 1533-position model. The record is from RNAcentral.